GCCUUCUUAGCUCAGUUGGUAGAGCGCAUGCCUAGUAAGCAUGAGGUCGUCAGUUCGACUCUGGCAGAAGGCA
RNAcentral lists this transfer RNA (73 nucleotides) under Coemansia erecta. Its description in RNAcentral is "tRNA-Thr". It matches the Rfam family "tRNA". From Rfam's summary of the family: Transfer RNA (tRNA) molecules are approximately 80 nucleotides in length. Their secondary structure includes four short double-helical elements and three loops (D, anti-codon, and T loops). Lineage: Eukaryota; Fungi; Kickxellomycota; Kickxellomycetes; Kickxellales; Kickxellaceae. RNAcentral also lists the same sequence under 1 other name. The record is from RNAcentral.